RNAcentral lists this ribosomal RNA (253 nucleotides) under uncultured bacterium. Its description in RNAcentral is "partial 16S ribosomal RNA". It matches the Rfam family "Bacterial small subunit ribosomal RNA", at positions 524 to 776 of the family's 1533-position model. The record is from RNAcentral.
UACGAAGGGGGCUAGCGUUGCUCGGAAUCACUGGGCGUAAAGGGUGCGUAGGCGGGGUUUUAAGUCAGGGGUGAAAUCCUGGAGCUCAACUCCAGAACUGCCUUUGAUACUGAAGAUCUUGAGUCCGGGAGAGGUGAGUGGAACUGCGAGUGUAGAGGUGAAAUUCGUAGAUAUUCGCAAGAACACCAGUGGCGAAGGCGGCUCACUGGCCCGGUACUGACGCUGAGGUGCGAAAGCGUGGGGAGCAAACAGG